RNAcentral lists this ribosomal RNA (500 nucleotides) under uncultured bacterium. RNAcentral describes it as "partial 16S ribosomal RNA". It matches the Rfam family "Bacterial small subunit ribosomal RNA", at positions 30 to 523 of the family's 1533-position model. The record is from RNAcentral.
AUUGAACGCUGGCGGCAUGCCUUACACAUGCAAGUCGAACGGUAACGGGUCCUUCGGGAUGCCGACGAGUGGCGAACGGGUGAGUAAUAUAUCGGAACGUGCCCAGUAGUGGGGGAUAACUGCUCGAAAGAGCAGCUAAUACCGCAUACGACCUGAGGGUGAAAGGGGGGGAUCGCAAGACCUCUCGCUAUUGGAGCGGCCGAUAUCAGAUUAGCUAGUUGGUGGGGUAAAGGCCUACCAAGGCAACGAUCUGUAGUUGGUCUGAGAGGACGACCAGCCCCACUGGGACUGAGACACGGCCCAGACUCCUACGGGAGGCAGCAGUGGGGAAUUUUGGACAAUGGGCGCAAGCCUGAUCCAGCAAUGCCGCGUGCAGGAAGAAGGCCUUCGGGUUGUAAACUGCUUUUGUCAGGGAAGAAAUCUUCUGGGCUAAUACCCCGGGAGGAUGACGGUACCUGAAGAAUAAGCACCGGCUAACUACGUGCCAGCAGCCGCGGUAA